UCUCCGUAGGUGAACCUGCGGAGGGAUCAUUACAGAGUUCAUGCCCUACCGGGUAGAUCUCCCUCCCUAUGUUAUUAUUACUUUGUUGCUUUGGCGGGCCGUUAGGCUCCGGCCCGACUACCGGCCCCGGCUGAUAAGCGCCCGCCAGAGGACCCAAAACCCUGAAUAUUAGUGUCGUCUGAGUACUAUAUAAUAGUUAAAACUUUCAACAACGGAUCUCUUGGUUCUG
Molecule: unclassified non-coding RNA, 229 nt
Filed under: plant metagenome
Description: partial contains small subunit ribosomal RNA, internal transcribed spacer 1, and 5.8S ribosomal RNA
Source: RNAcentral